UACGUAGGGUGCGAGCGUUGUCCGGAAUUAUUGGGCGUAAAGAGCUUGUAGGCGGUCUGUCGCGUCUGCUGUGAAAAUCCGGGGCUCAACCCCGGACUUGCAGUGGGUACGGGCAGACUAGAGUGUGGUAGGGGAGACUGGAAUUCCUGGUGUAGCGGUGAAAUGCGCAGAUAUCAGGAGGAACACCGAUGGCGAAGGCAGGUCUCUGG
Molecule: ribosomal RNA, 209 nt
Filed under: uncultured bacterium
Lineage: Bacteria
Description: partial 16S ribosomal RNA
Rfam family: Bacterial small subunit ribosomal RNA
Source: RNAcentral